RNAcentral lists this non-coding RNA (30 nucleotides) under Drosophila melanogaster (fruit fly). RNAcentral also lists the same sequence under 4 other names. The record is from RNAcentral. Lineage: Eukaryota; Metazoa; Arthropoda; Insecta; Diptera; Drosophilidae.
GACCUCGGAUCAGGUAGGGAUACCCGCUGA